ACUCCUACGGGAGGCAGCAGUGGGGAAUAUUGCACAAUGGGCGCAAGCCUGAUGCAGCCAUGCCGCGUGUAUGAAGAAGGCCUUCGGGUUGUAAAGUACUUUCAGUCAGUGAGGAGGUAGUGUAGUUAAUAGCUGCAUAUUUUGACGAUUAGACUGUAGAAGGAAGACACCCGGGCUAACUCCGUGCCAGCAGCCGCGGUAAUACGGAGGGUGCGAGCGUUAAUCGGAAUUACUGGGCGUAAAGCGCAUGCAGGUGGUUUGUUAAGUCAGAUGUGAAAGCCC
Molecule: ribosomal RNA, 282 nt
Filed under: uncultured bacterium
Lineage: Bacteria
Description: partial 16S ribosomal RNA
Rfam family: Bacterial small subunit ribosomal RNA
Source: RNAcentral